UACGUAGGUGGCAAGCGUUGUCCGGAUUUACUGGGCGUAAAGGGCGUGCAGGCGGUCUGUUAAGUUCAGGGUGAAAGCUCCCGGCUCAACUGGGAGAGGUCCUUGGAUACUGGCAGACUUGAGGGAGGUAGAGGAGAGUGGAAUUCCCGGUGUAGUGGUGAUAUGCGUAGAUAUCGGGAGGAACACCAGUGGCGAAGGCGGCUCACUGGCCCGAUACCGACGCUGAGGCACGAAAGCGUGGGGAGCAAACAGG
This 253-nucleotide ribosomal RNA is filed under the name uncultured bacterium. Its description in RNAcentral is "partial 16S ribosomal RNA". It matches the Rfam family "Bacterial small subunit ribosomal RNA", at positions 524 to 776 of the family's 1533-position model. The record is from RNAcentral.